UACUGAAGAAAUGAUAGUGGUUGAGCUGACUUUACUCGAGUAUGUGCUCACCCUAUCGCUUUUUCUAUUCUCCACUGUGAACCUAAUGUAGGCUAUGAUAGACUCUCAGGUCUAGUCUAGACUUGGAUAGAGGGCUAUGCAAAGUCACGCUUUGCUUGCCUUCAAUCAUUGUAGCCUAUGUCUAUACAAACUCCUUUACAAACUUAUGAAUGUAUGCUUGGUUGUUUAUUGACCAAUAACUAUAUACAACUUUCAGCAACGGAUCUCUUGGCUCUCGCAUCGAUGAAGAACGCAGCGAAAUGCGAUAAGUAAUGUGAAUUGCAGAAUUCAGUGAAUCAUCGAAUCUUUGAACGCACCUUGCACUCCUUGGUAUUCCGAGGAGUAUGCCUGUUUGAGUGUCAUUAAAUUCUCAAAUGACCUAGUCUUUCGAGACUAUGGUUGCUUGGAUGUGAGGGUUUUGCUGGCUCUUCCAAGUCCUAGCUCCCUUUAAAUGCAUUAGUGGGUUAGCUUUUUCUAUUCACUUAGAGUGUGAUAAUAUCUACGCUCGUUUGAAUGCAAAGCUUUUCAAACUCGCUUCUAAUUGUCUUUGAGACAACUUUUGACUAUUUG
Molecule: unclassified non-coding RNA, 609 nt
Filed under: Cortinariaceae sp. 2 CG-2012
Lineage: Eukaryota; Fungi; Basidiomycota; Agaricomycetes; Agaricales; Cortinariaceae
Description: sequence contains ITS1, 5.8S rRNA gene, ITS2
Rfam family: 5.8S ribosomal RNA (bases 248-401)
Source: RNAcentral